RNAcentral lists this transfer RNA (90 nucleotides) under Cervus elaphus hippelaphus. RNAcentral's name for it is "tRNA-Tyr". Lineage: Eukaryota; Metazoa; Chordata; Mammalia; Artiodactyla; Cervidae. The record is from RNAcentral.
CCUUAGACAGCUCACUUGGUAGAGCAGAAGACUAUAGUGAGUGAGCUGUGGCAAUCCUUAAGUUGCUGGUUCAGUUCCCGCUGGAAGGAC